GUGGGGAAUCUUCCGCAAUGGACGAAAGUCUGACGGAGCAACGCCGCGUGAGUGAAGAAGGUUUUCGGAUCGUAAAGCUCUUUCGUUAGGGACGAACGUGCUCUUUGUGAAUAAUGAGGAGUAAUGACGGUACCUAAAUAAGAAGCCACGGCUAACUACGUGCCAGCAGCCGUGGUAAUACGUAGGUGGCAAGCGUUGUCCGGAAUUAUUGGGCGUAAAGCGCGCGCAGGCGGGAUAUCAAGUCUGUCUUAAAAGUGCGAGGCUCAACCUCGUGAGGGGACAGAAACUGGUAUUCUUGAGUGUCGGAGAGGAAAGUGGAAUUCCAAGUGUAGCGGUGAAAUGCGUAGAGAUUUGGAAGAACACCAGUGGCGAAGGCGACUUUCUGGACGAUGUCUGACGCUGAGGCGCGAAAGCUAGGGGAGCGAACGGGAUUAGAUACCCUAGUAGUCC
RNAcentral lists this ribosomal RNA (450 nucleotides) under uncultured bacterium. RNAcentral's name for it is "partial 16S ribosomal RNA". It matches the Rfam family "Bacterial small subunit ribosomal RNA", at positions 354 to 796 of the family's 1533-position model. The record is from RNAcentral.